RNAcentral lists this ribosomal RNA (127 nucleotides) under uncultured eukaryote. RNAcentral's name for it is "partial 18S ribosomal RNA". It matches the Rfam family "Eukaryotic small subunit ribosomal RNA", at positions 1299 to 1458 of the family's 1831-position model. The record is from RNAcentral.
UGGUGGGUUGAUUUGUCUGGUUAAUUCCGUUAACGAAUGAGACCUUAACCUGCUACAUAGCUAUCAGGCGGGCAAGUUCUUAGAGGGGCUUUGUUUGUCUAACGCAAGGAAGUUUGAGGCAAUAACA